AGUCACAUGACCCCAACUUAACUGCAAGGGAUGCUGGGCAAUAUAGUCCAGUAGUGUGGCUAGCAGGAAAAUUAAAGGGGUUUGGUGAAUCCAUUGCUCCUGCCAUCACCCAGAUUAAAGACCUGCCCUCUCAUCCGCAAAACGGGGAGUGUCUGCUGGGGAAAUCUCUAAGAUGAAAGCCACUUUGUCACCUUCUUCCUUCCUGCUUGGGACACACAUGUAAUGCUUGGCACUGCUCCCCCUAUCUUGUCACCAUGAGAUGACAGCCAAGAGGAGAAAAAGCCAAAACAGAGAGGAUGACAGUGAAGAAAGAGGAAAAGUGGUUAAACCUCACAUGACAUCAUGGAAACCUGAACAAAGGCACAGAACCACAGAUUUCCCAAUUCUUGCGAAGGAAGCAAUUCAUGUUCCUUCUGGGUGAAGCUGCUGCUGGUUGGGUAUUUAUCCUUCUAGAGCUGAAGCAUCCUGAGUAAUGCAGUGCAAAUCAGAAAUUGAAAUAAAUGAAGCACGUCUUGAGCAGUGUCAUGGCAAAGGAGUCUGGCUUGUAGAAUGUCUGUCUCUGGAAAUUUGGAGAGCUGGGAGCAGGAGAUGUGAUCGUGGUUCACAACUGCAGCUGGUUUGGGUUGAGUUCUCUCAGUACCAAUACAAGGCGGAUCGAAAUCAGCAAAAUCAACACCAAAGUCACUACUACAAGAGGCAAAGCAUUAGGAUACAAGACACCGGACUUUCAAAUCAACAAUUGUUUCAAAAGACUCCUACUGGAUUCCUGCUAGUGAUGGGAGAAAAUUAUCAUUCUGUGAGUUGUCAAUAAAUGUUUAACCACA
RNAcentral lists this long non-coding RNA (824 nucleotides) under Homo sapiens (human). RNAcentral describes it as "long independently transcribed non-coding RNA 2359, transcript variant 4 (LINC02359)". Lineage: Eukaryota; Metazoa; Chordata; Mammalia; Primates; Hominidae. The record is from RNAcentral.